AAUCUCUGACGUCAGCCGCCACCACCGUCUCGGCUCUUCUUUUCCCCCUCCCCGACUCCCUCUCCGCGUCUCGUCUCGUCUCGUCGCCGCCCGACCCUCGCUCGCCUCUUCCCGAGGUCUCCACGAUAUUACAUCCCCGAUCGUGCCCGGGGCUUCGUUCCGGUACGUGAGGGGGUCGGCGAUGUUCUUCUCGGGUGACCCGUCGGCGCGGCGGCGGGUCGACCUCGGCGGCCGGAGCAGCAAGGAGCGGGACCGCAAGGUGCUGCUCGAGCAGACGCGCGAGGAGCGGCGUCGGCGCCAGGGCCUCCGACUACAGAACACCUCCGCCACGAAGAUCCAGAAAUUCUUCAGAGGGAAGAAGGCUUUGGAAUUGGCACGCUCAGAGGUUCGGAAGAAUUUUUGCUCAACUUUUGGGGAGCAUUGCGAGCGGAUAGAGUGGAACAACUUCGGAACUAAUUCUGACUUUCUUCGUCAAUUACUGUUUUUCUUUAAUGCAAAUGAAGACAAUGACAUAGCUAUACUUUGUCAAAUCUGCAACUUGCUGCUGCAAUAUGUUAAACAAGGCGGAGAUGUUGUAACUCUCUUUACUGGUGUGAAUGGCUCCUCACUGCAACCUCUCGUUGCUCACAGAGUAAAAAAAAUUACUCUCAUCUGUGUGCAAGCAGUCUAUCAAAAGAGGCAUGAUUGGGGCAGCCAACUUUUGACAACACCUGGAAGCACAUCAGUGCCUUCUGUCUCAUUACUGGAAACUGUAGGUUGCUUGAUAAAUCCAAAAUUUCCUUGGAACUGCAAAGUAGUAGGUUAUCUUCAGCAGAGAAAGAUCUAUUGCUUAUUCCGUGGAAUUGUCAUAUCUGUACCACAAAAGGUCAGAAAUUCUGGGCAUUUUGAUGGUACAUCUGUGCUGGAGCAAGUUCUCAUGCUUGUUGCUUCACAUGUUGGCCAUCAUCCCUGUUGUUGUCUGAAAGUGGAUCCAAGAUGGAGUUUCUCUUCUCAACUUCUGUCCAUCCCUUCUCUAUGGCAUCGUUUACCACACCUCAAGAAGGUUUUCUCAGUUAACGGGUUCAGCAAAUAUUACAUCCAUCAAAUAGCUUGCUUUUUGCCCAGUCUUGCUGAUGUCCUUCCAAAUGACAUAUCAGCUAAUCAUCCAGGAUAUGCGUGUGUCCUUGCAAAUGUUCUUGAAGCUGCAACCUGGAUUUUGUCUGAUGCUAAGUUUGCUUCUGAUUCAGCGGCUGACAUCAUUGCUGUUUCUACCUCGUUGUUGGAUACCUUGCCAGCAGUCACAACACCUACUGAAAGGGCAGAUGAUGAUGAUGAGACACCCAUGGAUGUUGAUAUUAAAAUUAAUCUUGAUGUUGAUUUGGAAAGACAGAUAACUGCAGCAAUUGAUCCAAAGCUACUUCAACAUUUGGUGAAUGCUCUCUUCAGAGGUACAUUAAGCAUAAAUGAUUCUGAUCUGUCUGAACCAUCAGAUGCUGAAGUGGAUGCUGUAGGAUGUAUUUGUGCUUUUCUUCAUGUCACAUUCAAUACAUUCCCUCUAGAGCGAAUUAUGACUGUACUGGCCUACCGGACUGAAAUUGUUCCUGCACUGUGGAACUUCAUAAAGCGGUGCCAUGCAAACCGAAGAUGGCCAUUUUUUUCGAAGUUUGCAUCUUCAUUACCUGCUGAUGCUCCUGGUUGGCUCCUUCCCAUGUCUGUAUUCUGUCCCAUAUACAAGCACAUGUUGAAGAUCAUUGAUAAUGGGGAGUUUUAUGAGCAAGAGAAACCCCUUUCCCUUAAAGAUUUGAAGUCCUUGGUUCUUAUUUUAAAGCAGGCAUUAUGGCAACUUUUGUGGAUUAUUCCAUCCUCUUCUACUCAGAAAGUGUCAUCCAACCCUUCAGGCCUUAAGAAGUUGUCAGUGGAGAAUGUCAAGAUCAGAGCUAGGGUUGGGUUGUCUGAAUUGCUCACACAGUUGCAAGACUGGAACAACCGACUUCCAUUCACUUCUGCAAGUGAUUUCUAUUCCCAAGAAGCAACAAGCGAAAAUUUUGUGUCUCAGGCAAUACUUGGUAAUACUCGAGCAUCAGAGAUCAUAAAGCUUGCUCCUUUUUUGGCUCCAUUUACCAGUCGAGUCAAAAUAUUCACUUCCCAAUUAACGAGUUCUAGACAAUCAACAUCACAUUCUGCAUUGACAAGACAACGGUUCAAAAUAAGAAGAAACCGACUUCUGGAAGAUGCUUUUGAUCAGCUAAGUUUGCUUUCUGAAGAAGAUCUCAAAGGACCGAUUCGAGUUUCAUUUAUUAAUGAACAUGGCGAGGAAGAGGCUGGAAUCGAUGGUGGUGGAAUUUUCAAGGAUUUCAUGGAAAAUAUUACUCGAGCCGCUUUUGAUGUGCAGUACGGUCUCUUCAAGGAGACGGCUGAUCAUCUUUUGUACCCAAACCCAGGAUCAGGAUUGGUUCAUGAACUACAUCUGCAAUAUUUCAAUUUUCUUGGAAGUCUACUUGGGAAGGCAAUGUAUGAAGGCAUACUUGUUGACUUGCCAUUUGCAACGUUCUUCUUGAGCAAGGUGAAACAAAAAUACAAUUUUUUAAAUGAUCUUCCUUCAUUGGAUCCAGAAUUGUAUCGACAUCUUCUAUUUUUAAAGCAUUACAAUGGUGAUAUCUCAGAGUUGGAACUGUAUUUUGUUAUUGUGAAUAAUGAAUAUGGUGAACAAUGUGAAGAAGAACUUCUCCCUGGUGGGAGGGACAUGCGUGUUACGAAUGAUAAUGUUAUUACUUUUAUCCAUCUUGUUGCCAAUCAUCGGUUAAACUACCAGAUCCGUGCACAAAGUACACACUUCUUGAGAGGUUUUCAACAGCUUAUACCAAAAGACUGGAUUGAUAUGUUCAAUGAACAUGAAAUUCAGGUUCUUAUAUCUGGCUCUUUAGAAAGCUUGGAUAUUGAUGACUUGCGGUCGAACACCAACUAUUCUGCAGGAUAUCAUCCAGAUCAUGAGCUUGUUGAGAUGUUUUGGGAGGUCUUGAAGAGCUUAAGUUCAGACAACCAGAAAAAAUUUCUCAAGUUAGUGUCUCUUCUACUAGCUUUUCCCCCCUUACCGUUCACUCGCUAGCAACUGUUUAAGUUGUAUUUUUUAACACUAAUACAUACUAUGUCCUUUUUUUACAUGUGAUGUUUAAUGUCAUAUAUCUAAAAACACGGGAGCAUUCAUGUUUGUGACUGGAUGUUCUCGUGGCCCCCUCCUUGGAUUUCAGUAUCUCGAACCGAAAUUUUGCAUUCAGAGAGCUGGUGUUCCAGGUCUGGAGGAGCAUGCAGACCGCUUGCCGACAUCAGCUACCUGCAUGAACCUUCUGAAGCUCCCCCCCUAUAAAAGCAAGGAGCAGAUGCAAACCAAACUAUUGUACGCGAUAAAUUCAGAAGCUGGUUUUGAUCUAAGUUGAUCAUGAUCGGGAUUCAGUAUUUGCAGUUCAGAUAGUCGCUAUUAAAGGCACCAAGGGCCGAACUCAACCAACCAUCGGCCCCAUUUGAAGCCCCAUGAAUGAAGGAAAUGAAGGAAAAAAAGAAAGAAACGCAGUUGUUUCUCAGAGUAGUUGAAUGUCUGGAGGGAGGCUGCAAUAUAGCUGUCUGCUAACUAAGGGCUUCGUUCUCCAAGAGAAAUAGGCAGACGCUGUCUAAUCAAUCAUGGGCAUGUACAUAUGUGCAUCAUUUUAUACAGAAAUUUUAUAUGUAUCUAAUCAAUGCUGGUUUGCGGUCAUCUGGUCCUUUUUGGCGCA
Molecule: RNA transcript, 3746 nt
Organism: Zea mays
Lineage: Eukaryota; Viridiplantae; Streptophyta; Magnoliopsida; Poales; Poaceae
Gene name: E3 ubiquitin-protein ligase UPL6
Exons: 27
Source: RefSeq, a predicted model, not a curated record